GACGAACGCUGGCGGCGUGCCUAAUACAUGCAAGUAGAACGCACAGUUUAUACCGUAGCUUGCUACACCAUAGACUGUGAGUUGCGAACGGGUGAGUAACGCGUAGGUAACCUGCCUGGUAGCGGGGGAUAACUAUUGGAAACGAUAGCUAAUACCGCAUAAUAUUAAUUAUUGCAUGAUAAUUAAUUGAAAGGUGCAAUUGCACCACUACCAGAUGGACCUGCGUUGUAUUAGCUAGUAGGUGAGGUAACGGCUCACCUAGGCGACGAUACAUAGCCGACCUGAGAGGGUGAUCGGCCACACUGGGACUGAGACACGGCCCAGACUCCUAUGGGAGGCAGCAGUAGGGAAUCUUCGGCAAUGGACGAAAGUCUGACCGAGCAACGCCGCGUGAGUGAAGAAGGUUGUCGGAUCGGAAAGCUCUGUUGUAGGAGAAGAACGGGUGUGAGAGUGGAAAGUUCACACUGUGACGGUAUCUUACCAGAAAGGGACGGCUAACUACGUG
Molecule: ribosomal RNA, 505 nt
Filed under: uncultured bacterium
Lineage: Bacteria
Description: partial 16S ribosomal RNA
Rfam family: Bacterial small subunit ribosomal RNA
Source: RNAcentral